RNAcentral lists this ribosomal RNA (253 nucleotides) under uncultured bacterium. RNAcentral describes it as "partial 16S ribosomal RNA". It matches the Rfam family "Bacterial small subunit ribosomal RNA", at positions 524 to 776 of the family's 1533-position model. The record is from RNAcentral.
UACAGAGGGGGCAAGCGUUGUUCGGAAUUACUGGGCGUAAAGGGCGCGUAGGCGGCCUGCUAAGUCGAACGUGAAAUCCCUGGGCUCAACCCAGGAACUGCGUCCGAUACUGGUUGGCUUGAAUCCGGGAGAGGGAUGCGGAAUUCCAGGUGUAGCGGUGAAAUGCGUAGAUAUCUGGAGGAACACCGGUGGCGAAGGCGGCAUCCUGGACCGGCAUUGACGCUGAGGCGCGAAAGCGUGGGGAGCAAACAGG